CUUGCGUCCACCGGUAAAAAGGACGAGUGGCGGAACGGGUGAGUAACACGAUGGUGUAACCUGCCCAUCAAAAGGGGAUAACACUAUGGUAAACAGGUGCUAAUACCGUAUAACAAUCGAAACCGCAUGGUUUUGAUUUGAAAGGCGCUUUCGGGUGUCGCUGAUGGAUGGACCCGCGGUGCAUUAGCUAGUUGGUGAGGUAACGGCUCACCAAGGCCACGAUGCAUAUCCGACCUGAGAGGGUGAUCGGCCACAUUGGGACUGAGACACGGCCCAAACUCCUACGGGAGGCAGCACUAUGGAAUCUUCUGCAAUGGACAAAAGUCUGACCGAGCAACGCCCCGUGAGUGAAGAAAGUUUUCGGAUCUUAAAACUCUGUUGUUAUAGAAGAACAAGGAUGAGAGUAACUGUUCAUCCCUUGACGGUAUCUAACCACAAAACCACGGCUAACUACAUGCCAGCACCCGCGGUAAUACAUAUGUGGCAAGCGUUGUCCGGAUUUAUUGGGCGUAAAGCGAGCGCACGCGGUUUCUUAAAUCUGAUGUGAAAGCCCCCGGCUCAACCGGGGAGGGUCAUUGGAAACUGGGAGACUUGAGUGCACAAGAGGAGAGUGUAAUUCCCUGUGUAUCGCUGAGAUGCGUAUAUAUAUGGAGGAACACCAGUGUCGAAAGCGGCUCUCUGGUCUGUAACUGACACUGAGGCUCUAAAGCGUGUGGAGCACACAGGAUUAUAUACCCUGGUAGUCCACGCGCUAUACGAUGAGUGCUAUAUGUUGUAGGGUGUCCGCGCUUCAGUGCUGCAGCUAACGCAUUAUGCACUCCGCCUGGGGAGUACUACCGCACGGUUGAAACUCUCAGGAGUUGACGGGGGGCGCGCACAAACGCUGGAGCAUGUGGUUUAUUUCUAAGCAACGCGAAGAACCUUACCACGUCUUGACAUCCUUUGACCACUCUAAAGAUAGAGCUUCCCCUCUGGGGCAAAGUGACAAG
RNAcentral lists this ribosomal RNA (989 nucleotides) under Enterococcus durans. Its description in RNAcentral is "bacterial SSU rRNA". It matches the Rfam family "Bacterial small subunit ribosomal RNA", at positions 71 to 1038 of the family's 1533-position model. Lineage: Bacteria; Bacillati; Bacillota; Bacilli; Lactobacillales; Enterococcaceae. The record is from RNAcentral.